Molecule: transfer RNA, 69 nt
Filed under: Asanoa ferruginea
Lineage: Bacteria; Bacillati; Actinomycetota; Actinomycetes; Micromonosporales; Micromonosporaceae
Description: tRNA-Arg
Source: RNAcentral
GCCGCGCUGGUCAGCGGCGUGAUGCUGGUCUUCGGCGGUGGCCAGCUGCUGAUCUUCAUCGGCGCGGCG